GACGAACGCUGGCGGCGUGCUUAACACAUGCAAGUCGAACGAUGAAGCCGGAGCUUGCUCCGGUGGAUUAGUGGCGAACGGGUGAGUAACACGUGAGCAAUCUGCCCUUGACUCUGGGAUAACUGCGGGAAACUGUAGCUAAUACCGGAUACGACACCUUGGGGCAUCCCAGGGUGUGGAAAGAAUUUCGGGCAAGGAUGAGCUCGCGGGCCAUCAGCUAGUUGGUGAGGUAAUGGCUCACCACGGCGACGACGGGUAGCCGGCCUGAGAGGGUGCCCGGCCACACUGGAACGGAGACCCGGUCCAGACUCCUCCGGGAGGCAGCAGUGUGGAAUAUUGCACAAUGGGCGACAGCCUGAUGCAGCAACGCCGCGUGAGGGAUGAAGGCCUUCGGGUUGUAAACCUCUUUUAGCCGGGAAGAAGCGAAAGUGACGGUACCUGCAGAAAAAGCACCGGCUAACUACGUGCCAGCCGCCGCCGUAA
RNAcentral lists this ribosomal RNA (483 nucleotides) under uncultured bacterium. RNAcentral describes it as "partial 16S ribosomal RNA". It matches the Rfam family "Bacterial small subunit ribosomal RNA", at positions 28 to 523 of the family's 1533-position model. The record is from RNAcentral.